This 85-nucleotide transfer RNA is filed under the name Peptococcaceae bacterium. RNAcentral's name for it is "tRNA-Leu". It matches the Rfam family "tRNA". Rfam says of the family: Transfer RNA (tRNA) molecules are approximately 80 nucleotides in length. Their secondary structure includes four short double-helical elements and three loops (D, anti-codon, and T loops). The record is from RNAcentral. RNAcentral also lists the same sequence under 1 other name. Lineage: Bacteria; Bacillati; Bacillota; Clostridia; Eubacteriales; Peptococcaceae.
GCGGGAGUGGCGGAAUUGGCAGACGCGCUGGAUUUAGGAUCCAGUGGGUUAUACCAUAAGGGUUCAAAUCCCUUCUCCCGCACCA